This 762-nucleotide ribosomal RNA is filed under the name uncultured prokaryote. RNAcentral's name for it is "bacterial SSU rRNA". It matches the Rfam family "Bacterial small subunit ribosomal RNA", at positions 706 to 1482 of the family's 1533-position model. The record is from RNAcentral.
ACUNCGAUUGCGAAGGCAGCUUGCUGGACUGUAACUGACGCUGAGGCACGAAAGCGUGGGGAUCAAACAGGAUUAGAUACCCUGGUAGNCCACNCNNUAAACGAUGNNUGCUAGCUGUUAGCGAUAUACUGUUAGCGGCACAGAGAAAUCGUUAAGCAUUCCACCUGGGGAGUACGCCGGCAACGGUGAAACUCAAAGGAAUUGACGGGGGCCCGCACAAGCGGAGGAACAUGUGGUUUAAUUCGAUGAUACGCGAGGAACCUUACCUGGGCUUAAAUUGCAGUGGAAUAACGUGGAAACAUGUUAGCCUUCGGGCCGCUGUGAAGGUGCUGCAUGGUUGUCGUCAGCUCGUGCCGUGAGGUGUCGGCUUAAGUGCCAUAACGAGCGCAACCCUCAUCGAUAGUUACUAACAGGUUAAGCUGAGGACUCUAUCGAGACUGCCGACGUAAGUCGUGAGGAAGGUGGGGAUGACGUCAAAUCAGCACGGCCCUUACGUCCAGGGCUACACACGUGUUACAAUGGGGGGUACAAAGGGCAGCUACCUGGCGACAGGAUGCUAAUCUCUAAAACCCUUCUCAGUUCGGAUUGGAGUCUGCAACUCGACUCCAUGAAGCUGGAUUCGCUAGUAAUCGCGCAUCAGCCAUGGCGCGGUGAAUACGUUCCCGGGCCUUGUACACACCGCCCGUCAAGCCAUGGAAGCUGGGGGUACCUGAAGUAUGCAACCGCAAGGAGCGUCCUAGGGUAAAACCGGUAACUGGGGCU